This 397-nucleotide ribosomal RNA is filed under the name uncultured bacterium. Its description in RNAcentral is "partial 16S ribosomal RNA". It matches the Rfam family "Bacterial small subunit ribosomal RNA", at positions 523 to 918 of the family's 1533-position model. The record is from RNAcentral.
AUACGUAGGUGACAAGCGUUAUCCGGAUUUACUGGGCGUAAAGGGCGUGUAGGCGGUCUUGCAAGUCAGAAGUGAAAUUCCUGAGCUCAACUCGGGCGCUGCUUCUGAAACUGCAGGACUUGAGUGCUGGAGGGGAUAGCGGAAUUCCUAGUGGAGCGGUAAAAUGCGCAGAUAUUAGGAAGAACACCGGUGGCGAAGGCGGCUAGCUGGACAGUAACUGACGCUGAGGCGCGAAAGCGGGGGGAGCAAAAAGGAUUAGAUACCCUGGUAGUCCACGCUGUAAACGAUGAAUACUAGGUGUAGGGGGUAUCGACUCCCUCUGUGCCGCAGUUAACACAAUAAGUAUUCCGCCUGGGGAGUACGGCCGCAAGGUUGAAACUUAAAGGAAUUGACGGGG